RNAcentral lists this non-coding RNA (23 nucleotides) under Cricetulus griseus (Chinese hamster). Lineage: Eukaryota; Metazoa; Chordata; Mammalia; Rodentia; Cricetidae. The record is from RNAcentral.
AUUAAUGUAUUAUGGACUAGAUA